This 396-nucleotide ribosomal RNA is filed under the name uncultured bacterium. RNAcentral describes it as "bacterial SSU rRNA". It matches the Rfam family "Bacterial small subunit ribosomal RNA", at positions 335 to 724 of the family's 1533-position model. The record is from RNAcentral.
ACUCCUAGGGAGGCAGCAGUGGGGAAUAUUGCACAAUGGGGGAAACCCUGAUGCAGCCAUGCCGCGUGUGUGAAGAAGGCCUUCGGGUUGUAAAGCACUUUCAGUAGGGAGGAAGGUAGUAGUAGUUAACACCUGCACUAUUUGACGUUACCUACAGAAGAAGCACCGGCUAACUCCGUGCCAGCAGCCGCGGUAAGUACGGAGGGUGCGAGCGUUAAUCGGAAUUACUGGGCGUAAAGCGCAUGCAGGCGGCCUGUUAAGUCAGAUGUGAAAGCCCGGGGCUUAACCUCGGAAUUGCAUUUGAAACUGGCAGGCUAGAGUCUUGUAGAGGGGUAGAAUUUCAGGUGUAGCGGUGAAAUGCGUAGAGAUCUGAAGGAAUACCAGUGGCGAAGGCGG